GCGACCGCCUACCAUCAUCUGGUGAACGGGAGACGGCUUGCGAUUGGGACUGGACGUGAGAAUGGGAAAACGUGAAGGACCCGAACUGAAGAACGAAGGAACGACCAAAAACAACGCGCUCCACUUGGCUACAGACAAAGCGAGGUAUACCGGGACGUUACGCGGACUGAGGGCAGCGGUACUCAUUCACGAGGAUGACAUCAGUGGGAACGACGAUGCCCGUGUUAUGAGAGCGGUAGCGAAACACGCAUACAUACAUGCAGUAGAAAUGAUCCAACGCGCUCAUAUAUGGGAUAUGGCUUGUGCAUCUAAUUUGUAAAGCUAAAUAUACGUAUAGAAAUGGCAAUGUUACUAAAAGGUGUCGUCGAAUAAGACGACGUGAGGAGAAUGUCGCCGGACCGUUCGCUUUUAUUGGCCUGCACCUGAAAUUUCGCCUAUAGACAGGACAGCCCAGGGGAGGUGAUACACUCGAUGUAUGAAGUCCGCCAAUACAACAACGUAAAAGUGAGACGUGAACUGCGCUUGCAAUUUAUCCACAAACUGGACCGACGUAUGACUAGGUCACAGAGAGAGGGGCUUUAGUUUUUGCUUGUUAUUUUUUUUUCUAUUUUUCAUCUAGAAAAUCCAACGAGUUUGGAAAACUGCCAACAAAGAUUGAGUUGGUUAUAAAAUCACGAAACUUUAAGGCUCACAAGCUUUCUGGGCUAACUCCUAAUUGAUUGUUAUACAACAGCACGGCGAUGGGAACAAGCCCAAUAAUUUUUUGUGUCAA
Long non-coding RNA from Varroa destructor (honeybee mite), 772 nucleotides. RefSeq lists it as uncharacterized. Lineage: Eukaryota; Metazoa; Arthropoda; Arachnida; Mesostigmata; Varroidae. The record is from RefSeq and is a predicted model, not a curated record.